RNAcentral lists this ribosomal RNA (180 nucleotides) under uncultured bacterium. Its description in RNAcentral is "partial 16S ribosomal RNA". It matches the Rfam family "Bacterial small subunit ribosomal RNA", at positions 1321 to 1500 of the family's 1533-position model. The record is from RNAcentral.
CGAAGCUGGAAUCGCUAGUAAUCGCGGAUCAGAAUGCCGCGGUGAAUACGUUCCCGGGUCUUGUACACACCGCCCGUCACACCAUGGGAGUUGGGAAUGCCCGAAGUCAGUGACCUAACCGAAAGGAGGGAGCUGCCGAAGGCAGGCCUGAUAACUGGGGUGAAGUCGUAACAAGGUAAC